This 707-nucleotide ribosomal RNA is filed under the name uncultured bacterium. RNAcentral describes it as "bacterial SSU rRNA". It matches the Rfam family "Bacterial small subunit ribosomal RNA", at positions 125 to 914 of the family's 1533-position model. The record is from RNAcentral.
CCUUCCCAUGACUGGGGAAUAACCUUGCGAAAGUAAGACUAAUACCCCAUGGUCAUGGACGGGGAUGCGUCUGAUUAGCUUGUUGGCGGGGUAACGGCCCACCAAGGCGACGAUCAGUAGGGGUUCUGAGAGGAAGGUCCCCCACAUUGGAACUGAGACACGGUCCAAACUCCUACGGGAGGCAGCAGUGAGGAGUAUUGUCAAUGGACGAGAGUCUGAACCAGCCAUGUAGCGUGCAGGAUGACGGCCUAUGGGUUGUAAACUGCUUUUAUACGGGAAUAUGUACCGUAUGAAUAAGGACCGGCUAAUUCCGUGCCAGCAGCCGCGGUAAUACGGAAGGUCCGGGCGUUAUCCGGAUUUAUUGGGUUUAAAGGGAGCGUAGGCCGCCGAUUAAGCGUGUUGUGAAAUGCCGCGGCUCAACUGUGGCACUGCAGCGCGAACUGGUUGGCUUGAGUGCGCGGAAGGCAGGCGGAAUUUGUGGUGUAGCGGUGAAAUGCUUAGAUAUCACGAAGAACCCCGAUUGCGAAGGCAGCCUGCCGCAGCGUAACUGACGCUGAAGCUCGAAAGUGCGGGUAUCGAACAGGAUUAGAUACCCUGGUAGUCCGCACGGUAAACGAUGGAUGCCGGCUUCCGUAGUGGCCAAGCGAAAGCGUUAAGCAUCCCACCUGGGGAGUACGCCGGCAACGGUGCAACUCAAAUGAAUUGAC